This 459-nucleotide ribosomal RNA is filed under the name uncultured bacterium. RNAcentral's name for it is "partial 16S ribosomal RNA". It matches the Rfam family "Bacterial small subunit ribosomal RNA", at positions 338 to 795 of the family's 1533-position model. The record is from RNAcentral.
CCUACGGUGGUCUGCAGUGAGGAAUAUUGGUCAAUGGUCGGGAGACUGAACCAGCCAAGCCGCGUGAGGGAGGAAGGUACAGAGUAUCGUAAACCUCUUUUGUCAGGGAACAAAGACUGGGACGCGUCCCCGGAUGAGUGUACCUGAAGAAAAAGCAUCGGCUAACUCCGUGCCAGCAGCCGCGGUAAUACGGAGGAUGCGAGCGUUAUCCGGUUGUAUUGGGUUAAAAGGGUGCGCAGGCGGUCUGUUAAGUCAGAGGUCAAAGCCCGGGGCUCAACACAGGCCCGCCGUUGAAACUGGCAGGCUCGAGUUGGAGAGAAGUAGGCGGAAUGCGCGGUGUAGCGGUGAAAUGCAUAGAUAUCGCGCAGAACUCCGAUUGCGAAGGCAGCAUGCCGGCUCCACACUGACGCUGAGGCACGAAAGCGUGGGUAUCGAACAGGAUUAGAUACCCCUGUAGUC